Molecule: long non-coding RNA, 746 nt
Organism: Mastomys coucha (southern multimammate mouse)
Lineage: Eukaryota; Metazoa; Chordata; Mammalia; Rodentia; Muridae
Exons: 4
Source: RefSeq, a predicted model, not a curated record
CUUAUCUUUGAAAACUCUUGAAUUGGGUGUAUCCAGCAUUGCCCUGUAAUAGCAGGCAUGUAAGAACCAUGGACUUAGCCUGACACAAAGUGUGACAUUAUUUUACUUAUAAGAAAUAUCCAGAACAGGCGAUCUAGAGACAGUACUGCUGGCUGCCAGGAACCAUGGGGAAGACACGGGAACAGCUGCUGAUGGUGUAUGAUGCUCUCUGGAAGUGAUGACAUUCCUUCAAGCCUACACUGUGGUAAUCAUUGUAUAACAUUAAGUUGCAAGGAAUGUCUGCUCGUCCUGGUAUGACAAUGUGACUGAUAUUCAGUUGGGAUGGAAGGGCAGAGAUCACACGAGCCACAGCAAAAUUCCAGAAAGGCAGACCCAUUGUCUCAGUUGGUGAAAGAGCGACAGAGAAAAAGCCCACAGCAGCAUCUAUGGAGGCCCAGGGCUCUGCUCCAACAGGCUCUGAAGAAGCAGACGUGUCUACGUACUUGCCUGAUGCAAGAGAGAUCUCAAAGUUAGAACAAGAGCCUCACUGUGUCCAGGCUCGUGGAUCCUCCUGCUUCAGCUGCCUGGGCUGGAUGACUUUCAUUAGGAAAGGGCACAGGAACUACAUGUUAAGAGACUUUGGCCUGGAAGAACAGGAGACCCAAGAUAUGCUGCCCAGGCAAGCUUCUCUGUGACUAUAGAACUAUGCUCCAUGAUGGUGUUUCUGAAAAAUUUUAUUCAAUUAAAAACAUUUUUUUGAGAGGGAA